CAACGUCCGAUUCUGCCUCGAAGGCAUGGAGGAGUCAGGCUCUGAGGGCCUAGACGAGCUGAUUUUUGCCCAGAAAGACACAUUCUUUAAGGAUGUGGACUAUGUCUGCAUUUCUGACAAUUACUGGCUGGGAAAGAAGAAGCCCUGCAUCACCUACGGCCUCAGGGGCAUUUGCUACUUUUUCAUCGAGGUGGAGUGCAGCAACAAAGACCUCCAUUCUGGGGUGUACGGGGGCUCGGUGCACGAGGCCAUGACUGAUCUCAUUUUGCUGAUGGGCUCUUUGGUGGACAAGAGGGGGAACAUCCUGAUCCCCGGCAUUAACGAGGCCGUGGCCGCCGUCACGGAAGAGGAGCACAAGCUGUACGACGACAUCGACUUUGACAUAGAGGAGUUUGCCAAGGAUGUGGGGGCGCAGAUCCUCCUGCACAGCAACAAGGUCUGGUUCAGGGCUCGACUCUGCCACCUGCCCGGGCCACGCUGUGACACAGGUGUCCCCCAGGCCCUGUCACCUUCCCUGGGUCCAGGGGGUCUCUGA
This 535-nucleotide small RNA is filed under the name Pan troglodytes (chimpanzee). RNAcentral's name for it is "retained intron". Lineage: Eukaryota; Metazoa; Chordata; Mammalia; Primates; Hominidae. The record is from RNAcentral.